AGUGAACGCUGGCGGUAGGCCUAACACAUGCAAGUCGAACGGCAGCACAGUAAGAGCUUGCUCUUACGGGUGGCGAGUGGCGGACGGGUGAGGAAUACAUCGGAAUCUACUUUUUCGUGGGGGAUAACGUAGGGAAACUUACGCUAAUACCGCAUACGACCUACGGGUGAAAGCAGGGGAUCUUCGGACCUUGCGCGAUUGAAUGAGCCGAUGUCGGAUUAGCUAGUUGGCGGGGUAAAGGCCCACCAAGGCGACGAUCCGUAGCUGGUCUGAGAGGAUGAUCAGCCACACUGGAUCUGAGACACGGUCCAGACUCCGACGGUAGGCAGCAGUGGGGAAUAUUGGACAAUGGGCGCAAGCCUGAUCCAGCCAUACCGCGUGGGUGAAGAAGGCCUUCGGGUUGUAAAGCCCUUUUGUUGUGAAAGAAAAGCAGCAGGUUAAUACCCCGCUGUUCUGACGGUACCCAAAGAAUAAGCACCGGCUAACUUCGUG
RNAcentral lists this ribosomal RNA (492 nucleotides) under uncultured bacterium. RNAcentral describes it as "partial 16S ribosomal RNA". It matches the Rfam family "Bacterial small subunit ribosomal RNA", at positions 29 to 507 of the family's 1533-position model. The record is from RNAcentral.